RNAcentral lists this ribosomal RNA (253 nucleotides) under uncultured bacterium. RNAcentral describes it as "partial 16S ribosomal RNA". It matches the Rfam family "Bacterial small subunit ribosomal RNA", at positions 524 to 776 of the family's 1533-position model. The record is from RNAcentral.
UACGUAGGGUGCGAGCGUUGCCCGGAUUUAUUGGGCGUAAAGGGCGCGUAGGCGGCCACGCACGUCCGUUGUGAAAUCGCCCGGCUCAACUGGGCGGGGUCAGCGGAUACGGUGUGGCUCGAGCAAGCUAGGGGGCAAUGGAAUUCCCGGUGUAGUGGUGGAAUGCGUAGAUAUCGGGAGGAACACCAGUGGCGAAGGCGGUUGCCUGGAGCUUUGCUGACGCUUAGGCGCGAAAGCGUGGGGAGCGAUCCGG